GUAGGUGAACCUGCGGAAGGAUCAUUAAAAAUGAAGCCGGGAAACCGGUCCUUCUAACCCUUGAUUAUCUCAAUUUGUUGCUUUGGUGGGCCGCGCAAGCACCGGCUUCGGCUGGAUCGUGCCCGCCGAAGACACCCUCGAACUCUGUCUGAAGAUUGUAGUCUGAGUGAAAAUAUAAAUUAUUUAAAACUUUCAACAACGGAUCUCUUGGUUCCG
This 216-nucleotide unclassified non-coding RNA is filed under the name rhizosphere metagenome. RNAcentral describes it as "partial ribosomal RNA internal transcribed spacer region". The record is from RNAcentral.